CCUACGGGAGGCAGCAGUGAGGAAUAUUGGUCAAUGGGCGCGAGCCUGAACCAGCCAAGUAGCGUGAAGGAUGAAUGCCCUACGGGUUGUAAACUUCUUUUAUAAAGGAAUAAAGUGAGGCACGUGUGCCUUUUUGUAUGUACUUUAUGAAUCAGGAACGGCGAACUCCGUGCCAGAAGCCGCGGGAAUACGGAGGAUCCGAGCGUUAUCCGGAGUUAUGGGGUUUAAAGGGAGCGUAGAUGGGUUGUUAAGUCAGUUGUGAAAGUUUGCGGCUCAACCGUAAAAUUGCAAUUGAUACUGGCAGCCUUGAGGACAGUUGAGGUAGGCGGAAUUCGUGGUGUAGCGGUGAAAUGCUUAGAUAUCACGAAGAACUCCGAUUGCGAAGGCAGCCUACUAAACUGCCACUGACAUUGAUGCUCGAAAGUGUGGGUAUCAAACAGGAUUAGAUACCCGAGUAGUC
Molecule: ribosomal RNA, 460 nt
Filed under: uncultured bacterium
Lineage: Bacteria
Description: partial 16S ribosomal RNA
Rfam family: Bacterial small subunit ribosomal RNA
Source: RNAcentral